GGAUUGGGAGGGUUCUACGGAACCCGUUUGGUGAAUCUAGUGCCGAGAAAAGCCUUCUAUGUGUUGAAUUUCUAGUACCCGUACCCCAAACCGACACAGGUGGGUGGGUAGAGCAUACCUAGGGGCGCGUGAUAACUCUCUCUAAGGAACUCGGCAAAAUGGCCCUGUAACUUCGGGAUAAGGGGUGCCUGCGUGAGCAGGCCGCAGUGAAAUGGCUCUGGCGACUGUUUACCAAAAACAUAGGUCUCUGCUAAGUCGUAAGACGAUGUAUAGGGGCUGACUCCUGCCCAGUGCCGGAAGGUUAAGGAAGUCGGUUAGCGCAAGCGAAGCUGGCGACCGAAGCCCCGGUGAACGGCGGCCGUAACGAUAACGGUCCUAAGGUAGCGAAAUUCCUUGUCGGGUAAGUUCCGACCCGCACGAAAGGAGUAACGAUCAGAGCGCUGUCUCGGAGAGAGACACGGCGAAAUAGGAUUGUCCGUGAAGAUACGGACUACCUGCACCCGGACAGAAAGACCCUAUGAAGCUUUACUGUAACUUGGAAUUGUGUUCGGACUUUGUCUGCGCAGAAUAGGUGGGAGGCUAUGAAACGUUCCUCGCGGGGAACUGGAGCCAUCGUUGAGAUACCACUCUGGCAGAGUCUGGAUUCUAACCUACGGGGACAGUUCCAGGUGGGCAGUUUGACUGGGGCGGUCGCCUCCUAAAAUGUAACGGAGGCGCGCAAAGGUUCCCUCAGGCUGGUUGGAAAUCAGCCAUAGAGUGUAAAAGCAUAAGGGAGCUUGACUGUGAGACCUACAAGUCGAGCAGGGACGAAAGUCGGCUUUAGUGAUCCGACGGCACUGAGUGGAAGGGCCGUCGCUCAACGGAUAAAAGUUACUCUAAGGAUAACAGGCUGAUCUCCCCCAAGAGUUCACAUCGACGGGGAGGUUUGGCACCCCGAUGUCGGCUCGUCGCAACCUGGGGCGGUAGUACGUCCCAAGGGUUGGGCUGUUCGCCCAUUAAAGCGGCACGUGAGCUGGGUUCAGAACGUCGUGAGACAGUUCGGUCCAUAUCCGGUGUAGGCGUAGGAGCAUUGGAAGGAUCUCUCCUUAGUACGAGAGGACCGGGAGGGACGUACCUCUGGUGUACCUGUUAUCGUGCCAACGGUAAACGCAGGGUAGCCAUGUACGGAGUGGAUAACCGCUGAAAGCAUCUAAGUGGGAAGCCCACCUUAAGAUGAGUGCUCCCUUGAGGCCACGGGAAGACGACCCGUUUGAUAGGCGCUAGGUGGAAGUGCAGUAAUGCAUGCAGCCGAGGCGUACUAAUAGGCCGAUGGCUUGUCCA
This 1320-nucleotide ribosomal RNA is filed under the name metagenome. RNAcentral describes it as "bacterial LSU rRNA". It matches the Rfam family "Bacterial large subunit ribosomal RNA", at positions 1563 to 2925 of the family's 2925-position model. The record is from RNAcentral.